GGCCCCGUCGUCUAGCGGCUAGGACAUCAGAUUCUCAUUCUGAAGAUCACCGGUUCAAAUCCGGUCGGGGUCA
Molecule: transfer RNA, 73 nt
Filed under: bacterium
Lineage: Bacteria
Description: tRNA-Glu
Rfam family: tRNA
About the family: Transfer RNA (tRNA) molecules are approximately 80 nucleotides in length. Their secondary structure includes four short double-helical elements and three loops (D, anti-codon, and T loops). Further hydrogen bonds mediate the characteristic L-shaped molecular structure. tRNAs have two regions of fundamental functional importance: the anti-codon, which is responsible for specific mRNA codon recognition, and the 3' end, to which the tRNAs corresponding amino acid is attached (by aminoacyl-tRNA synthetases). tRNAs cope with the degeneracy of the genetic code in two manners: having more than one tRNA (with a specific anti-codon) for a particular amino acid; and 'wobble' base-pairing, i.e. permitting non-standard base-pairing at the 3rd anti-codon position.
Source: RNAcentral